Molecule: unclassified non-coding RNA, 307 nt
Filed under: plant metagenome
Description: partial contains 5.8S ribosomal RNA, internal transcribed spacer 2, and large subunit ribosomal RNA
Rfam family: 5.8S ribosomal RNA (bases 1-105)
Source: RNAcentral
GAAAUGCGAUAAGUAGUGUGAAUUGCAGAAUUUAGCGAAUCAUCGAAUCUUUGAAUGCACAUUGUGCCCCUUGGUAUUCCAUGGGGCAUGCCUGUUCGAGCGUCAUUUCAACCCUCAAGCACUGCUUGGUGUUGGGCGUUUGUCCCGCCUACGCGCGUGGACUCGCCUCAAAGUCAUUGGCGGCUGUUCCCCUUCGGCUCGUAAGCGCAGCACAGUCGGCGCCCGGAGCUCUGGUGGGAUGGCGUCCAGCAAGCUAUAUUUUCAGGCUUGACCUCGGAUCAGGUAGGGAUACCCGCUGAACUUAAGC